AAUCAACGCUGGCGGCGUGCCUCAGACAUGCAAGUCGAACGAUUAAAGCUCUCUUCGGAGAGUGCAUAGAGUGGCGCACGGGUGAGUAACACGUAAGUAAUCUACCUUCGAGUGGGAGUAACGUCCGGAACGGACGCUAAUACCGCAUAAUAGCAGCGGCAUCGCAAGAUGACAGUUGUUAAAGGAAGCAAUUCGCUUGAAGAGGAGCUUGCGGCAGAUUAG
This 222-nucleotide ribosomal RNA is filed under the name uncultured bacterium. RNAcentral's name for it is "partial 16S ribosomal RNA". It matches the Rfam family "Bacterial small subunit ribosomal RNA", at positions 32 to 244 of the family's 1533-position model. The record is from RNAcentral.